RNAcentral lists this ribosomal RNA (432 nucleotides) under uncultured bacterium. Its description in RNAcentral is "bacterial SSU rRNA". It matches the Rfam family "Bacterial small subunit ribosomal RNA", at positions 354 to 797 of the family's 1533-position model. The record is from RNAcentral.
GUGGGGAAUCUUGCACAAUGGGCGAAAGCCUGAUGCAGCGACGCCGCGUGCGGGACGAAGGCCUUCGGGUUGUAAACCGCUUUCAGCAGGGACGAGGCCGCAAGGUGACGGUACCUGCAGAAGAAGCCCCGGCUAACUACGUGCCAGCAGCCGCGGUAAUACGUAGGGGGCGAGCGUUAUCCGGAUUCAUUGGGCGUAAAGCGCGCGUAGGCGGCCUGCUAGGUCGGGACUCAAAUCCGGGGGCUCAACCCCCGCCCGGUCCCGAUACCGACAGGCUUGAGUCUGGUAGGGGAAGGCGGAAUUCCAAGUGUAGCGGUGGAAUGCGCAGAUAUUUGGAAGAACACCGGUGGCGAAGGCGGCCUUCUGGGCCACGACUGACGCUGAGGCGCGAAAGCUAGGGGAGCGAACAGGAUUAGAAACCCUAGUAGUCCC